GACGAACGCUGGCGGCGUGCCUAACACAUGCAAGUCGAACGGGACCAGAUGUCAGACAGCGGACAUCAGAAGACAGAUUACAGAUGGCAGAAUACAGAUUCAGAAGAGGGCGUGGAGGAAACCAAGCCUAGAUUCUAAUAUCCUAAGUCUGAGCAUUAGUAUCUGAACUCUGGUAUCUGGCGUCUGAUGUCUGGUCUAGUGGCGGACGGGUGAGUAACGCGUGAGCAACCUGCCUUACAGAGGGGGAUAACAUUCGGAAACAAAUGCUAAUACCGCAUAACAUAUAUUUACGGCAUCGUAGAUAUAUCAAAGGAGCAAUCCGCUGUAAGAUGGGCUCGCGUCCGAUUAGAUAGUUGGUGAGGUAAUGGCUCACCAAGUCUGCGAUCGGUAGCCGGACUGAGAGGUUGAACGGCCACAUUGGGACUGAGACACGGCCCAGACUCCUACGGGAGGCAGCAGUGGGGG
This 465-nucleotide ribosomal RNA is filed under the name uncultured bacterium. RNAcentral's name for it is "bacterial SSU rRNA". It matches the Rfam family "Bacterial small subunit ribosomal RNA", at positions 28 to 360 of the family's 1533-position model. The record is from RNAcentral.